This 62-nucleotide transfer RNA is filed under the name Fukomys damarensis (Damara mole-rat). It matches the Rfam family "tRNA", at positions 5 to 66 of the family's 71-position model. From Rfam's summary of the family: Transfer RNA (tRNA) molecules are approximately 80 nucleotides in length. Lineage: Eukaryota; Metazoa; Chordata; Mammalia; Rodentia; Bathyergidae. The record is from Rfam by way of RNAcentral.
GUGUAGCUCAGUGGUAGAGCACUUGCCUAGCAUGUGUAAGCCCUGGGUUUGAUACCCAGCAC